GUGAGGAAUAUUGGUCAAUGGGCGGGAGCCUGAACCAGCCAAGUAGCGUGAGGGAUGACUGCCCUAUGGGUUGUAAACCUCUUUUGCAGGGGGGUAAAGUGGUUCACGUGUGGACCAUUGCAAGUACCCUGCGAAUAAGGAUCGGCUAACUCCGUGCCAGCAGCCGCGGUAAUACGGAGGAUCCGAGCGUUAUCCGGAUUUAUUGGGUUUAAAGGGAGCGUAGGCGGGGGUUUAAGUCAACUGUGAAAUGCCGUGGCCCAACCAUGGAACUGCAGUUGAAACUGGACCUCUUGAGAGUACAUAAGGAAGGCGGAAUUCGUGGUGUAGCGGUGAAAUGCAUAGAUAUCACGAAGAACUCCGAUUGCGAAGGCAGCUUUCCGGGGUACAUCUGACGCUGAAGCUCGAAAGUGCGGGAAUCAAACAGGAUUAGAAACCCCGGUAGUCC
RNAcentral lists this ribosomal RNA (445 nucleotides) under uncultured bacterium. RNAcentral describes it as "partial 16S ribosomal RNA". It matches the Rfam family "Bacterial small subunit ribosomal RNA", at positions 354 to 796 of the family's 1533-position model. The record is from RNAcentral.